This is a long non-coding RNA of Diospyros lotus (date-plum), 703 nucleotides long. RefSeq lists it as uncharacterized. NCBI's taxonomy places the organism in Eukaryota, Viridiplantae, Streptophyta, Magnoliopsida, Ericales, Ebenaceae. The transcript has 3 exons. The record is from RefSeq and is a predicted model, not a curated record.
AAAAGGAGUUGCAGGCGGGAGCAGGAGGAAGAAGAAGGUGGAGAAGAAAAUAAGAAAAGAAAAAGAAAAAGAAAAAAAGGAAAAGAAAAGAAAAGAAGAAAAAAAAAGGAAAAAAUAGAGAAAAUGUUGGAAAAAUUUCAGAAAAAAUUAUAGAAAAUAAGGAAUUAUGUUUCGGUGAUAUUUCAGAGAUUUUGGUGAGAAAAACAGUCCGGGCACACGUUUCAAGGAUGGGGCACGCAUACCGAGAAAAUUCGAGAUGCUAAGUUAAGGAUACGUUGAGACUGAAUUUGAAGAGACUCGCACAAAUUUUGAGGUUGGCACGCAAAUCGAGGCAAGACACGGAUAUCGAGGUAGCCCGAUAAGCUCUAGAAGGUAAGUGGUACUUCCUCGAUAAUGAUUUCAUCAUAUUGACAUGCCCUGAUAUGUAUCCAUCACGUAGAUUGCAUACAUGACUAUGAAAUGCAUAAAUACACGUUGAUAUCAUCGAUCACACGCAUAUGAGGCCGUAGGGGGUACGAACUGGCACCGCUGCCUUACCAAGGGUGCACCCAUACACCCCGGCUUCGAAAGAGGUGGCCGCUAAAAUGGUAGGUAACAUGAGGGGUGCAGUUGACACCUACGAUGAAAGACAUUGCACACACUCAUGACAUAGCAUUAUGUUCCCUUACUUAGAUGGUUCAUCAUCUAACUUGGGUUCGCCCCU